CAUCCUGUGGUUUUCCACAUAAUCCAUAUCAUCAGGUGCACACGGGGGCGCCGAUCUCCCAUUUUCCCGGCCGACGGUCAAAUAUCAUAUCAUAUUCAGGAUCCAUAUCACAGACCGUCCUCACAAACCCACGGUGGUCCACUUCAUCCCAAUUCCACACAAACAAAGCAUAGCAUUAUCACAACAUAAUUAAUCAAACAUUGCAAUCAAAUGCAGACAUAUUGAUCAGUUGCACGUCGUAAUGCGAUGCACAAUUAGACAUCCAUUCUCAAAUGCAAAUAAAUGAAUAAAUAAAUAAUAAUAUUAACAAUAAACAACAACAAUAAAAUAAAUAAUAAUAAUAAACAAUAACAACGAAAAUAAAUAAUUAGAGCA
Molecule: long non-coding RNA, 375 nt
Filed under: Jatropha curcas
Lineage: Eukaryota; Viridiplantae; Streptophyta; Magnoliopsida; Malpighiales; Euphorbiaceae
Description: long non-coding RNA (JCUR_LNC000109)
Source: RNAcentral